CUCCGCCGCCCGCCCCCGGGGCCGUCCAGGCGGAGGGACCGGGCCGCCUCCGCUCCGCCGGCCCAGGGAGGGAGCAGCGCCGGCCCCGCGGUGCUGCGGCGGACAGCGGCCGGGGAACACCAUCCCAAGGGAGACAGGACCCGACAAAAUUCAGAUUCCAGGACUCUGCUACAUGCAGCUGAAUCAAUGGUGGUGGCAGCAGACCCGUGACACUGUGAGCAGGGAUUCUGCUGAUCUUCUGUGUGCUCAUCAUAUGGGCCUCCAAACUGAGCUGAACUUCUGGAAAGCAAGACAGCAUUUUAAUCAAAAAUUAAACAGAGCAGCAUUGAUGAUUGGACUAAAACCCAGUGGAGAGAGAUUAAUGUGGAACAGAUGGAUGUGCAGCUCAGAAGGUUUGCCAAGGCAGGUUCCACAGCCGUCUAUUUCUGCAAUUUAUCUGUCUCAAUGCCACCCCUUCCUCACUCUUCCCACCCACUUGGACGCUUUGAUCAGGCUGUUGAUAGCAGAAGACCUUCUCAGGCCUUCUGGGACUCCAGUUUUGUAAGGGGAGAAGAUGAAGUCCAAAGUGUAGCUGUCGAUGCUGUGCAUGACUUGAGUACUGAGAAGAUUUUGGAAGAAAUCUGCCAAACAUGGACUGCCAUGGAAUUUUCUUACCAAGAGCAUAAAAGAAUAGAAAUUCCUCUAUUAAAGUUUAAUGAAGAGCUGCUUGAAACUUCAGUUUCAGAUGCAAGUGAUUCUGAAAAGUAA
Molecule: long non-coding RNA, 747 nt
Filed under: Parus major (Great Tit)
Lineage: Eukaryota; Metazoa; Chordata; Aves; Passeriformes; Paridae
Description: lncRNA (ENSPMJG00000000305.1)
Source: RNAcentral